GACGAACGCUGGCGGCGUGCCUAAUACAUGCAAGUAGAACGCUGAAGAGAGGCUUUUGCCCUUCUUGGAUGAGUUGCGAACGGGUGAUUAACGCGUAGGUAACUUGCCUGGUAGCGGGGGAUCACUAUUGGAAACGAUAUCUAAUAUCGCAUCAAAUGGAUUAUCGCAUGAUAAUCCAUUGAUAGGUGCAAAUGCAUCACUACCAGCUGGACCUGCGUUGUAUUAGGUAGUUGGGGGGGUAACGGCUCACCAAUGCGUCGAUACAUAGACGACCUGAGAAGGUGAACGGCCAAACUGGGACUGAGACACGGGCCAGAAUUCUAAGGGGAGGAGCAGGAGGGAAACAUUGGAAAUGGACGGAAGGCUGAACGAGCAAAGCCGCGGGAGGGAAGAAAGUUUUCGGAUCGGAAAGCUCUGUUGUAAGAGAAGAAAGAGUGUGAGGGUGGAAAGUUGACGCUGUGACGGUAUCUUAACAAAAAGCGACGGCUAACUACGUG
This 497-nucleotide ribosomal RNA is filed under the name uncultured bacterium. RNAcentral's name for it is "partial 16S ribosomal RNA". It matches the Rfam family "Bacterial small subunit ribosomal RNA", at positions 28 to 507 of the family's 1533-position model. The record is from RNAcentral.